GGCCCGCUGGUACGGCUCGCACCGGGCGUGCUUCGACUUCGCGGAGGCCGCCGCGUUCGACUCCCUGCCGGGCUC
Molecule: transfer RNA, 75 nt
Filed under: Streptomyces roseolilacinus
Lineage: Bacteria; Bacillati; Actinomycetota; Actinomycetes; Kitasatosporales; Streptomycetaceae
Description: tRNA-Arg
Source: RNAcentral